CAGCAGCCGCGGUAAUACGUAGGGUGCGAGCGUUAAUCGGAAUUACUGGGCGUAAAGCGUGCGCAGGCGGUUCGCCAAGUCAGAUGUGAAAUCCCCGGGCUUAACCUGGGAACUGCGUUUGAAACUACAAGGCUAGAGUGUAGCAGAGGGGGGUGGAAUUCCACGUGUAGCAGUGAAAUGCGUAGAGAUGUGGAGGAACACCGAUGGCGAAGGCAGCCCCCUGGGUUAACACUGACGCUCAGGCACGAAAGCGUGGGGAGCAAACAGGAUUAGAUACCCUGGUAGUCCACGCCCUAAACUAUGUCAACUAGUUGUCGGGCCUUAACGGGCUUGGUAACGUAGCUAACGCGUGAAGUUGACCGCCUGGGGAGUACGGUCGCAAGAUUAAAACUCAAAGGAAUUGACGG
This 407-nucleotide ribosomal RNA is filed under the name uncultured bacterium. RNAcentral's name for it is "bacterial SSU rRNA". It matches the Rfam family "Bacterial small subunit ribosomal RNA", at positions 509 to 916 of the family's 1533-position model. The record is from RNAcentral.